AUGCUAGCAAGAUGGGCAGCAUAUCUUGAGAGGUUUAACUAUCUCAUCGUGCAUAAAUCUGAAAUAACUAACAGAGUGGCCGAUGCUUUGAGUCGUCGUGCAUGCCUCUUGACUUCUUUUGAAGCUGAACUUCCGGGCAUGGGUCAAAUAAAGGAGUUGUAUGAGGGUGACGAAGACUUUGGCCAUGUUUGGGUAAAGCACGCAAGGGGCCAACCAUUAGGUGAUGACUAUUUGAUGCAAGAUGGAUAUCUCUUCAAAAAUGAUCGUUUGUGCAUUCCAAGAAGUUCUCUACGUGACAAGCUGGUUAGAGAGCUCCAUUCAAGUGAUCUUAGUGGCCAUGUUGGACGGGACAAGACUAUCGCUAACCUGGAAGCUCGCUACUUUUGGCCACAACUAAAGAGAGAUGCUGGAAAGUUCGUUCAACGGUGCCCCGUAUGUCAGACCUGCAAAGGCCAAGUCCAGAACACAGGGUUAUACAUGCCUUUGCCUGUUCCUGUUGCUCCAUGGGAGGACAUUUCUAUGGACUUCGUCUUGGGCUUGCCAAGAACAAGACGAGGAAGUGAUGCUGUAUUUGUGGUCGUGGAUAGAUUCUCUAAGAUGGCUCAUUUCAUCCCAUGCCACAAGACAACGGAUGCUCAUCAUGUGGCAAACCUAUUCUUUCGAGAAGUGGUCAGACUUCAUGGAGUUCCAAGGUCCAUUGUCUCAGACCGUGAUAGCAAGUUUCUUGCUGCAUUUUGGCUCACUUUGUGGAAGCAAUUCAACACUGAAUUGAAAUUUUCUAGCACUGCUCAUCCACAAACAGAUGGACAAACGGAAGUGGUGAACAAGUUUUUGGGUAAUCUGAUCCGUUGCAUUUGUGGAGAAAGAAAGGGGCAAUGGGAUUUGGCUUUAUCUCUUGCAGAGUUCUCCUACAAUAACUCCAAGCAUAGAUCCACAGGAAGGAGCCCUUUUUCCAUUGUCUACACUAAAGUUCCAACACAUGUGGUGGACCUGGUGAAGCUGCCAUCAAGGGGAAACUCAAAAUCAGCAUUGUCCUUUGCUGAUAAUUACACCGAGUUAUUGGAAGAGAUUCGCGGCGCUUUGGAAGCACAAAAUCAGAAAUAUAAACAACUUGCUGAUUGCAAAAAGAGGCCAAAAUCAUUCCAAGUCGGUGAUAAGGUGAUGGUCUACCUCCGAAAAGAGAGGCUGCCUUUAGGUGUUAAAGGGAAACUUAGGCAGCGAAGGUAUGGGCCCUUCUCUAUCAUGAGGAAGAUAAAUGAUAAUGCUUAUGUGAUAGAUCUUCCAAGUGACAUGGGUAUCUCCAACACUUUCAAUGUUGCGGACUUGACUGUCUACCAUUCAGAAGAAGCGCUCUAUGAAGAUAACUCGAGGGCGAGUUCCAAACAACCAGGGGAGAAUGAUGAGGAACACUAG
This 1413-nucleotide ribosomal RNA is filed under the name Triticum aestivum (bread wheat). Its description in RNAcentral is "partial small subunit ribosomal RNA". Lineage: Eukaryota; Viridiplantae; Streptophyta; Magnoliopsida; Poales; Poaceae. The record is from RNAcentral.